RNAcentral lists this ribosomal RNA (459 nucleotides) under uncultured bacterium. RNAcentral describes it as "SSU rRNA". It matches the Rfam family "Bacterial small subunit ribosomal RNA", at positions 26 to 518 of the family's 1533-position model. The record is from RNAcentral.
AGAAUCAACGCUGGCGGCGUGCCUAACACAUGCAAGUCGAACGAGAAAGUGGAGCAAUCCAUGAGUAAAGUGGCGCACGGGUGAGUAACACGUGACUAACCUACCCUUGAGUGGGGGAUAACCUAGAGAAAUCUGGGCUAAUACCGCAUAAUACCUUCGGGUCAAAGGAGCAAUUCGCUUAAGGAGGGGGUCGCGGCCGAUUAGUUAGUUGGCGGGGUAAUGGCCCACCAAGACUAUGAUCGGUAUCCGGCCUGAGAGGGCGCACGGACACACUGGAACUGAAACACGGUCCAGACUCCUACGGGAGGCAGCAGUGGGAAUUUUGCGCAAUGGGGGAAACCCUGACGCAGCAACGCCGCGUGGAGGAUGAAGUCCCUUGGGACGUAAACUCCUUUCGAUCGGGACGAUUAUGACGGUACCGGAAGAAGAAGCCCCGGCUAACUUCGCGCCAGCAGCCGC